AAAAAACUAAACAAAAUGGUCUUAUGGUCUCGUUCUGUGGUCUCGUUGCCGAGAAGUUCUCUUGAUAAUUUCCUGUGCUACUUUGUUAGAAUUUGUAGCUUACAAGUUCACCGUGCGAGAGCGUCGACAUUCUACUGUAAAAACUUCCAGAGCCAUUGUGUGUUUUGGAUAGAGCCGAUAUGAUAAAAAGUUUGUGGAUAAUGUUCGUUGAUAAAUUGCAAUGUGUGAAUGCUGAUCGACUUUGUCAUACUAACUCAUACUCAUACUAAGAGAUGUAAGCAACAAUAACAAGUUUCCUGAAGAAUGUUCCAAUCGGACAGUUGGAAACAAUUAUGUCUGUAUAAGUUGUGGAAUAUCUUUGGGAAAGCAGUCACGAAGAUAAAAUCACAGGCCAUGGGCUUAUGGAAAGAAGUGAAGAGUGGUAUUAUAUAGAAAAACAAUCUCCGAGAUAGAUGCCUGAUGGAUGCCCAUGUAUGCAUUGUUUGCAGGAUGAGCUCACCUCAAAAGCAUUAAUAUCUAGUGAACAUAAAAGCUGUGUUAGGUGUGUUGUUGCAAUGUAUAUAGUUCUGACGAUUGCUCCGCUGAACACCCAAAGUGUGCUCCUGGUGGUAGAACGGGUAAAUUCUAAUGCUCUGUUGUGCCCCUUUAGUGGUACAGAAGGGAAACUUUUGAGUUACCUGUCGUGCUCCUUUUAAGUUAUGAACACAUUGGAGGGACUACUAAAAUGAAAUAAGUACUUGAAAUAUUUGUUUUAAAUGUAUAAUGUUAAGUAUUUAAAGAAUAAAGAACAUGUGUUCCAUCCUUUGUAGGGGUAAAGUGGAACCAUAAAUAUAACGACAUAAGAUGUGCUCCACCAAACCACCAAAGGAGCACUACGGAUCAUACAAAAUUUACUCGUUCUACCACCAGGAGCACACUUUGGGUGUUCAGCGAAGCAGUCGUCAUAGUUCUA
Long non-coding RNA from Pectinophora gossypiella (pink bollworm), 952 nucleotides. RefSeq lists it as uncharacterized. NCBI's taxonomy places the organism in Eukaryota, Metazoa, Arthropoda, Insecta, Lepidoptera, Gelechiidae. The transcript has 3 exons. The record is from RefSeq and is a predicted model, not a curated record.